This 431-nucleotide long non-coding RNA is filed under the name Triticum aestivum (bread wheat). Its description in RNAcentral is "long non-coding RNA (TAES_LNC015317)". Lineage: Eukaryota; Viridiplantae; Streptophyta; Magnoliopsida; Poales; Poaceae. The record is from RNAcentral.
UGAAGGGAUGGUACAUUGUGAUGUUUUUCUUCUGUCACUAAGCUUGAUAACAUCUCACCAACUGUAGCAGUAAUGUACUGAUUUUUUCUGUAGGUUGUGUUUGGCAAUCGAAUAGAAAUUUUGCUGCUGAGGUAUGAAGGUAAGGACAAAAAUAUUGCCUGUUUUUUGUUUGCCUGGUUGUGUUCAUAGUCCAUUUUAAGCCCAUAUAAUUUUAUGUGGUUUUGAACUGUAUUCACCUGCAUCUAGAAAUAGAAGUUUAAUCUUCUUUCAUCCUUUGAGUGUGUGCUAAAGUUUCUGAUACCUGGAAGUUUUUAUCACAUCAUGCAAUAAUACAAAAAUCAGAAAAGUUCAGAUAUUAUGCAUCAUUUUUUUGGUAAAGACAUUACACAUCGCCUCCCGGGGUAUCUCAAAGGCUAUUACAACAAUUUGAU